UUGAACGCUGGCGGCAUGCUUUACACAUGCAAGUCGAACGGCAGCACGGGGGCAACCCUGGUGGCGAGUGGCGAACGGGUGAGUAAUAUAUCGGAACAUAUCCGGGAGUGGGGGAUAACGUAGCGAAAGUUACGCUAAUACCGCAUAUGCCCCGAGGGGGAAAGGGGGGGAUCGCAAGACCUCUCGCUUUCGGAGUGGCCGAUAUCGGAUUAGCUAGUUGGUGGGGUAAAGGCCCACCAAGGCGACGAUCCGUAGCUGGUCUGAGAGGACGACCAGCCACACUGGAACUGAGACACGGUCCAGACUCCUACGGGAGGCAGCAGUGGGGAAUUUUGGACAAUGGGCGCAAGCCUGAUCCAGCCAUGCCGCGUGAGUGAAGAAGGCCUUCGGGUUGUAAAGCUCUUUCAGCCGGAAAGAAACGGUCGCGGUUAAUAACCGCGGCUAAUGACGGUACCGGAAGAAGAAGCACCGGCUAACUACGU
Molecule: ribosomal RNA, 482 nt
Filed under: uncultured bacterium
Lineage: Bacteria
Description: bacterial SSU rRNA
Rfam family: Bacterial small subunit ribosomal RNA
Source: RNAcentral